UACAGAGGUCCCGAGCGUUGUUCGGAUUCAUUGGGCGUAAAGGGUGCGUAGGCGGCGGGGCAAGUCUGAUGUGAAAUCCCGGGGCUCAACCCCGGAACUGCAUUGGAUACUGCCUUGCUUGAGUACCGGAGAGGGAACUGGAAUUUACGGUGUAGCAGUGAAAUGCGUAGAGAUCGUAAGGAAGGCCAGUGGCGAAGGCGAGUUCCUGGACAGUUACUGACGCUGAGGCACGAAGGCCAGGGGAGCAAACGGG
Molecule: ribosomal RNA, 253 nt
Filed under: uncultured bacterium
Lineage: Bacteria
Description: partial 16S ribosomal RNA
Rfam family: Bacterial small subunit ribosomal RNA
Source: RNAcentral